Molecule: long non-coding RNA, 532 nt
Filed under: Cucumis sativus (cucumber)
Lineage: Eukaryota; Viridiplantae; Streptophyta; Magnoliopsida; Cucurbitales; Cucurbitaceae
Description: long non-coding RNA (CSAT_LNC002626)
Source: RNAcentral
UUUGUCAUGCAUGGUCCGCUAUUUGUCGGUCUCUCUCCUCCUCCCUCAGGUGUUGUUCUAAUUCAAUCAUGCGGUUAACGUUUUCAAGGCUCACUUUUAGUUCGCUAACUUUCGUCAUGUGUGCCUGGUGAUCAUACAUAUUAGAGAAAGAAGAUGAAUCAGAACUCAUCCUAGACUUGGGUUUUGGGUCCCAACCAAAACAUUUGAAUAACCCAGUUAUUUUUGUCAACAUCUUGUAUCGUGUCGGAAUUUCUCUAAUUUUUUGUAGUGAUAAUAAAAUGCAGCUCAGCUCCUUCCAUCAUAAUGCCCAUACAUUAGAGAAAAAACUAAGUCAAAUGUAGUAAAAAGGAAAGCAGGAAAAAGCUAAAAAUCUUAAAGUGUAUUGUUGCUCUCAAAUUAAUCUGAUGUCCAUGUGAACAAAGACUUUAUAAAAGAGAAUACUUACAAAGUAUUGCAUGUGUUCAUCCAUAUAUAGGCCAAGCCUUUAGACGAAAGGCCACUUUAGAUAUGAAUAAUUAUUGAUCAUUAACCU